UCACACUGCGCAUGCACUUAUCAAAGGGCGACCGAAACUCCACUGCCGCCAGACAAGAUGCGGAAGAAACACAGAUCAAAGGAUUUUUCAAGACAAUGCACGUAAUUGCAGUUCAUUAACUGAAAGGCACAUGCAAGAACCUUUGGAUUUUCUCCCUUCCAAUUCUAGCAGCAAUCUUCCAGCCUAUCGACAAGACUAAUGUGGACCACUUGGUCAAUCAUGAUGCCUUCGAGAGACAACAACAAGUACACAGCUCAAUUUAAACAGGAGAAAGAAUUGGCAGAAUAGGUUAAAGAGCAUCAGCAAGAUGGUCAUAUUAUCACCUGCAGAGUAAUACAACUCUACAUCCUCAGAGAAGUGAAGAAAGAUGGCAUUUCAGAAUUCAAGGCCAGUUCCAGGUGGUGCACAAGAUUUAUGAAAAGGCACACUUAGUGUUCCAUCAAAAAACAAACAUUUCAGAGCAUCAGCCAACUGAAUUAGCCAUCGGAAGGUGUGGAAUCCAUAUGGGUGGAGGAAAGACUGGAUGGAUGAGGGCGAUUGCGAGAAAUGGAUCAAAGCGUGGAAUUCGAGACACAAAGAGAAAGAUUUGUUCAUCUAAGAUAUGUUCAAUUCCUACUUUGUCCAUGAUGCAGUCCAUGGUGAGAUCAGCCAACACUGGUAAGUCUUCCAAAUGUUGUUCAGCCUUUGGAUGUGCAUAUAAAUAAACCUCUCAAGGACAGCGUCCAAAAGAUGUGGAAUAAUCAUACGUUGGAAGGCGAAAAAUAUUCACUAAAGGUGGAAAUAUGCAAACACCCUCACUAUCAACAUUGUGUUAAUGGGUCAUAGGCUUGAUUCCAAUAUUGUCAAAAAGUUGUUUCUAAAAUGUGGAAUAUCAAAUGCGCUCAACGGUUACCAGGAUGAUUACUUGUGGAAUAAUGAUGUUGAAGUUACAAGUACUACCAUUGAAGACACAAGAUCCAUAUGUAGACGUUAUACAACUAGGCAAUUGGGUUGAAUUGUUCAGUGAUUCAGAUGAUGAUUUUGAAAGAUUUUUCUUGUGAAGUGCUGUAUUUAAUUUGAUUAUGGUAUAUACACAUUUCAUACAUUAUGAUAUAAAUAUAGUUUGUAAUGUUACAAAAUAAAUAAAUGUUAGAGAAUUAAUAUGAA
Molecule: long non-coding RNA, 1146 nt
Organism: Carcharodon carcharias (great white shark)
Lineage: Eukaryota; Metazoa; Chordata; Chondrichthyes; Lamniformes; Lamnidae
Exons: 4
Source: RefSeq, a predicted model, not a curated record